This 444-nucleotide ribosomal RNA is filed under the name uncultured bacterium. Its description in RNAcentral is "SSU rRNA". It matches the Rfam family "Bacterial small subunit ribosomal RNA", at positions 26 to 518 of the family's 1533-position model. The record is from RNAcentral.
AGAGCGAACGCUGGCGGCAGGCCUAAUACAUGCAAGUCGAACGGAUCCUUCGGGAUUAGUGGCGGACGGGUGAGUAACACGUGGGAACGUGCCCUUUGGUUCGGAACAACUCAGGGAAACUUGAGCUAAUACCGAAUGUGCCCUUCGGGGAAAGAUUUAUCGCCAUUGGAGCGGCCCGCGUCUGAUUAGCUAGUUGGUGGGGUAAAGGCCCACCAAGGCGACGAUCAGUAGCUGGUCUGAGAGGAUGAUCAGCCACACUGGGACUGAGACACGGCCCAGACUCCUACGGGAGGCAGCAGUAGGGAAUCUUGCGCAAUGGGCGAAAGCCUGACGCAGCCAUGCCGCGUGAAUGAUGAAGGUCUUAGGAUUGUAAAAUUCUUUCAGCGGGGACGAUAAUGACGGUACCGCAGAAGAAGCCCCGGCUAACUUCGUGCCAGCAGCCGC